GGUUUCAAAAUGAGUUGCCAGUUUGUAAGAUCUACUGAAAACCACCACCACCGCCGCAAAACAAGACGACAACUUAACAGGCAUUUUCUAAGACAACAACAAGAGACGCUCUUGAGACAAGUCUCUAGAACUGCGUCGGCUGAGUGGGAAACAACAGGAGGGGAGCCCUCCAUGUCAGAAACACCAGAGAUAAACUCUGUCAGAGGCCACAAAAGCAUGUGUUCCUGAAGACGCCCUCAAUGUGACAGUAGUGAUUCUUGCAAUGAAGAUGUACAUCAGUCAGGAUUCUGUGCAGAUGUGACUACACGUGUGCAGCAGUUAAUCGUCAGAGACCAUCCACAUUGUUUUAUUGUUGUUGCUUCUGCUGUUGUUUGUCUGCUUGAGGUCUAGUCUCUUGCUGGAGAGGAGCUCACCACGUGAGCUACUAGGGUGGCUGGACACCAAGUCCCAGUGAUGCACCUCGCUGUCUCCCAGAACUGAAAUUCUAGGUAGACAUAGCCAUAGUCAGCUUUGUGCUGCGAGUUUGUUUCUGGGCAUGAGGAUUCGGUACCAAGGUUAAGCAGGGCUGUGGCUUUUGCACGAUUCUGAGUGAUUUUCCUUCAUGAAGUUGGUAGUGAUUCCUGGAAAUCAGUUUUGACACAAAAAGGUUGAGAAAACAGACAAAAAUUUACAACAAAGAGUGUUAGUCAAUACAUCUUUUAUUGAUAUGAUAUGACUUUAUUUUACUUUAUUCUUAGAC
RNAcentral lists this long non-coding RNA (739 nucleotides) under Mus pahari (shrew mouse). Its description in RNAcentral is "par-3 family cell polarity regulator beta, opposite strand 2 (MGP_PahariEiJ_G0003597.1)". The record is from RNAcentral. Lineage: Eukaryota; Metazoa; Chordata; Mammalia; Rodentia; Muridae.